This 1710-nucleotide unclassified non-coding RNA is filed under the name Hevea brasiliensis (rubber tree). Lineage: Eukaryota; Viridiplantae; Streptophyta; Magnoliopsida; Malpighiales; Euphorbiaceae. The record is from RNAcentral.
GGUAACUUGGUGAAUGAGAUAUUGCCUUCUUAUCAAGAAGAAGAAUCAGAUUCCGCGGAAGGGCAUGGAAAUGGUGUUGGGAGUGAUGCUCUACCAAAUGGGAAUUUGCGAGCACCACCAGAUGCGGGAAAGUCAGCACAAGGACUGUCAAGUCCCCUAUUCCCUGAAGUUAAUGCUUUAUUAUCCUUAUUUAAGAAUUCUUGUAAACAAUUGGUCGAUCUCAGAAAACAGGUUGAUGAGAACCUUAGUGAUCUUAAAAAGGAAGUUGUUGUCCAAGAUUCAGAGCACCGGAAGACACUUUCUGAGCUGGAAAAAGGUGUAGACGGAUUGUUUGAUAGCUUUGCACGGUUGGACUUGCGUAUAUCUAGUGUGGGUCAGACGGCUGCCAAAAUAGGAGAUCAUCUACAGAGUGCAGAUGCUCAGAGAGAAGUUGCUAGUCAGACGAUAGAGCUUAUAAAGUACUUGAUGGAGUUCAAUGGCAGUCCAGGAGACCUGAUGGAACUUUCUCCUUUAUUUUCUGAUGAUAGUCGUGUUGCGGAAGCUGCUUCGAUUGCUCAAAAAUUAAGAUCAUUUGCUGAGGAUGAUAUUGGAGGACAAGCCAUGACCAUCUCAGCUGUCGGUAAUGCAACUGCGAGUAGAGGACUGGAAGUUGCUGUUGCCAAUCUCCAAGAAUACUGCAAUGAGCUGGAAAACAGAUUACUAUCUCGAUUUGAUUUGGCUUCACAGAAACGUGAGCUGUCUACAAUGCGGGAAUGCGCUAAAAUUUUGUCACAGUUUAACCGGGGUACCAGUGCUAUGCAACACUAUGUGGGAUUAUGUCCAAUGUUCGAUCUGGAGGUCAUGAAUGCAGAUGCUGAAUUGGUUCUUGGAGAUCAGGGUGCACAACCCAGCCCUAGCAAUGUUGCACGUGGUCUUUCUUCAAUUUUUAAAGAGAUUACAGAGACAGUGCGCAAAGAAGCAGCCACAAUAGCAGCUGUUUUUCCGUCCCCAAAUGAUGUAAUGUCAAUACUAGUUCAGCGUGUCUUGGAGGAUCGUGUUCCAAAGCUACUUGAGAAACUCUUACUGAAACCGUCUCUUGUUAGUCCACCUGCCAUGGAAGAAGGAGGACUUAUAUUAUAUCUCAGAUUGCUAGCCGUGGCAUAUGAGAAGACACAAGAGCUAGCUAGGGACUUGCGUGGUGUAGGGUGUGGCGACCUGGAUGUUGAAGGUUUAACGGAAUCCCUGUUUCUACCCCACAAAGAUAUAUACAUUGAGUACGAGCAGGCCUCUCUUAGACAACUCUACAAAGCUAAGAUGGAGGAGCUACGUGCUGAAGGCCAGCAAUCCUCCGAGUCAUCUGGGACAAUUGGACGCUCAAAAGGUGCUUCAAUGGCAUCCUCUCACCAGCAAAUUUCUGUUACUGUGGUGACAGAGUUCGUUCGUUGGAAUGAAGAAGCAGUAUCCAGAUGCACUUUGUUUUCAUCACAGCCUGCUGCAAUUGCUGCUAAUGUAAGGGCUGUUUUUACAUGCCUUCUGGACCAAGUGAGCAUAUACAUAACUGAAGGUCUUGAAAGAGCCAGAGACAGUCUCACUGAGGCUGCUGCUUUAAGGGAAAGAUUUGUACUUCCUAGUGUAAGUCGAAGGGUUGCUGCUGCAGCUGCUUCCGCGGCAGAAGCAGCAGCUGCUGCUGGUGAAAGCAGUUUCAGAUCUUUCAUGGUUUCUGUACAACGU